Brassica napus (rape) is the source of this 2544-nucleotide long non-coding RNA. RefSeq lists it as uncharacterized. The transcript is spliced from 5 exons. The record is from RefSeq and is a predicted model, not a curated record. NCBI's taxonomy places the organism in Eukaryota, Viridiplantae, Streptophyta, Magnoliopsida, Brassicales, Brassicaceae.
CCACGAUCGAGAUUUGGUUCUAACUCGUUAAAGGUCUCAUCUUUCGAUUCGAUGUACAUCGAUCUGCUAGAGACUUCCUCGUGACCACAUCCAAUACAACGCAACUAGCUCUCGAUCUUCGAUAAGACAGCUCGAUCAGAGAUGUCUUAUCCAUUGGAGCUCGAUCAGAACUGUCUUAUCAGAGAUCGAGAGCUAACUAGUUGCGUUGGAUUGAAUGUGGUCACAUGGUAAAUCUUCAGCAUCCAAAAAUGAGAUUUUUAAACCGCUAGAUGGUGGUGGUGGCCUCGGCGGUGCCGGUGACGGUGGGAGUAACGGUGGAAACGUGGUUAUGUGGGUUUUUUCUUGCGAGAGACUAUAGCGAAGAAUAAGGCUCUUAAAGGUAUCAGCCAACAACUUUCGUGGUAAGAUGUCCAUGUCCACAACUAGUAUAUAACUCUACUAUCCACGUUUUGGUGUCCACAUCCACACUUAAUUUUGUUUACACGUUAAUAUAUAUAUAUAUGAAAAUAGAUCUUAAAAGAUAGAGAAUUUGGGAUAAUUCGCUGCUAUCUCCUUUAUUUAUCUAUCACAAAGACACUAGUGGCACGUUUUGAUUUAAAGGUAAACUUCUGAAGGAUUCUUGGUUUUAUUUUGUGGCGUUUCAAACAGACAAUGAAUCUCUUUUGAGUUUGAAAGAGGGGAACAGAUAGUUUUGUACAUUAUGGUUAGUUAAAAGCGUAUGAUUCAGAACAGAGGUUUUGGGGGAGUGGUGAACGGUAUUGCUGGCUGAGACAAAACGUGUAGGGGUGGUCAGGGACUGCGUUUUGCGGAGGUUGGUGUUUUAAAGAGGGAAACUGGUUCUCUGGAAAGACGCCAAGGAGAGGGAAGAUUUAGGGUUAAAGCAUGCUGGUGUGAUGAUCAUUAAUUAUUUGAUUGCUGAGAAAAAUUUUCUCAUUAUGAAAUCUCUAGCUGUUAUGGUUUGAUGCAGGAACCCUCCUUCGUAUAAAAUCAAACAAGUAUUAAAAGUUGAAUAUCAGCUUCAUUCAGCCUGUCCACGUCGGACAAGAAACCAAUACCAAGCUCAUCUCAGCAAUACCUAAUCUCCGAUGAAACCCAUAUCGUGGCGACUCUUCUUCGUCAUCAUCAUCGUUUGGAAUCACGAUAAUUCACCUUUAUUACAACCCAUUCUCUCCAUCAUUCAAUCCCGAUAAUUCGCUUUCGUUUCAACUCCCUUUGUUUAACCUUCUAUAUAAAUCAUAUUCUAUAAAAUUUUUGAUUAAAGCAAACUACUCUUCAAAGAGGGAAUAUAGAGAUUCAUACGUUGGUGAUGACCAACCACUGAAUACCAUAGCCGACGAAACCCGGGUUGGCUAAGACUGGUGGUGAGGAAUCGGCGGGAAAAAGUCAGCUCCCGUCGCCUUUUACUUCAACAACGUCUCAUCAGUGUUUAGAGAGAUAGUUAUUUGCUUAGAGAUGCUCCUCAUCGACGACAGAUAAGCAGAUACCUCAUGGAGCAAAACGCUUGCGUUCUUCGUCGACAGGAAGGUCAUCAUCAUCAGUGUUCGGUAGAUCUAUAGCUCCGAAUGCAUCUCCGGUUUGGAUGCCACCUAAGGCGUCGUUGAAACCUCCACUUGAUCAUCCCUAUAAUACAGAGAUAACAAAUGAAAGAAAAAAGAUACUAACUAUGAUGUUGUGCUUGAUUCAUUAAAAUUUAAUGUUUUUUUUUUGGUUCAGAUACUAUGGUGAUUUACCAUUGGUUCGUUCGAGAAAUAAAGGGUAUCAGCGGGAAGCUUCAGCUGUUCGUGAUGAACUGGAUAUGUUGCAAGAGGAGAAUGAGACUGUAUUGGACAAGGUUCAAUGUCUUUGUCACUUUUUACAUAAAUACUAAGCUAUUCUCCUCUGUCAUUCGUAAUAAUUGUUCUGGAGGCAGCGGAAGCCAGGGCUAGGGAGCUGGAGAAACAGAACCAAAAGAAUAGAUGAGGUUGGACUAUCUCUCCGAGGAGCUGAUUUCAGAUAACCGUCUAUCUCCAAAAUCAUGGUGUGCUGUUGGGAACUGCUAUAGUUUGCGUAAAGAUCAUAAAUCUAUUCUUAAGAUGUUUCAGAAAGCUAUUCUACUGAAUGAAAUAUCGAGAUAUGCACAUAUGCUUUAUGGUCACGAGUACAAUUCUUUUCUAUUUCCCUCUCUGUUAUUAGUCAUAUCCACAUUAACAAAUCAAACCCAAGACUGUCCCUUCUCAUUUGUAUUUAUGUUCCCAUGUAGCGGUUUAGUAGAGGCCAGUAUAUCCAUCUUCUAGGCUGGGAAAAGACGGGGACAAACUGGAAGCUGAAGUGACGAAACAUGUUCCUCUUUUAGCUCCAGAGAUUUUGCUUUGCUUUACUUUAUAUUGUUUCUAACUAUCGAUUUUUUAAUUACAAGGUAAGGAUGAAAAGCUAGAUGGACAUGCAUGUAUAUAUGAGCUGUGAGCAAGUUUUCCUGUGAUAUAUUCCAGAGGACGUGACGCAAACUAUGAACAAAUAAAUCAUUUGUGAGGUGAUGAGGCUCUUUUUUUAUCUUCUUUUUAACAA